AACGAACGCUGGCGGCAGGCCUAACACAUGCAAGUCGAACGCUCCGCAAGGGGAGUGGCAGACGGGUGAGUAACACGUGGGAACCUACCUCGAGGUGCGGGAACAACCAAGGGAAACUUUGGCUAAUACCGCAUGUGCCCUUAGGGGGAAAGAUUUAUCGCCUUGGGAUGGGCCCGCGUCGGAUUAGCUAGUUGGUGUGGUAAUGGCGCACCAAGGCGACGAUCCGUAGCUGGUCUGAGAGGAUGAUCAGCCACACUGGGACUGAGACACGGCCCAGACUCCUACGGGAGGCAGCAGUGGGGAAUAUUGGACAAUGGGCGCAAGCCUGAUCCAGCCAUGCCGCGUGUGUGAUGAAGGCCUUAGGGUUGUAAAGCACUUUCGCCGAUGAAGAUAAUGACUGUAGUCGGAGAAGAAGCCCCGGCUAACUUCGUGCCAGCAGCCGCGGUAAU
RNAcentral lists this ribosomal RNA (449 nucleotides) under uncultured bacterium. RNAcentral describes it as "bacterial SSU rRNA". It matches the Rfam family "Bacterial small subunit ribosomal RNA", at positions 29 to 524 of the family's 1533-position model. The record is from RNAcentral.